Molecule: unclassified non-coding RNA, 319 nt
Filed under: uncultured fungus
Lineage: Eukaryota; Fungi
Description: partial contains small subunit ribosomal RNA, internal transcribed spacer 1, and 5.8S ribosomal RNA
Rfam family: Eukaryotic small subunit ribosomal RNA (bases 1-73)
Source: RNAcentral
GCAAACUUGGUCAUUUAGAGGAAGUAAAAGUCGUAACAAGGUUUCCGUAGGUGAACCUGCGGAAGGAUCAUUAUUGAAUUUUGAUACAGGGGUUGUGCUGGCCUUUAGGGGCAUGUGAACACCCCUAUCUCAAAUAAAUCCAACCUUUACACCCUGUGCACUGUUUGUAGGUCUGAGAAAUCAGCCUAUGUUUUUUUCAAUACACUCUUUUAAAAUUAUUUGAAUGUAUAUUUGAGUAGGCUUGUACAAAGCUGAAAUAAAAUUAAAUACAACUUUCAACAACGGAUCUCUUGGCUCUCGCAUCGAUGAAGAACGCAGC